This 459-nucleotide ribosomal RNA is filed under the name uncultured bacterium. Its description in RNAcentral is "bacterial SSU rRNA". It matches the Rfam family "Bacterial small subunit ribosomal RNA", at positions 30 to 507 of the family's 1533-position model. The record is from RNAcentral.
AUUGAACGCUGGCGGCAUGCUUUACACAUGCAAGUCGAACGGCAGCGCGGGGGCAACCCUGGCGGCGAGUGGCGAACGGGUGAGUAAUGUAUCGGAACGUAUCCUGUAAUGGGGGAUAACCAGUCGAAAGAUUGGGUAAUACCGCAUACGCACGAGAGUGGAAAGUAGGGGAUCGCAAGACCUUACGUUAUAGGAGCGGCCGAUAUCUGAUUAGCUAGUUGGUGGGGUAAAGGCCUACCAAGGCGACGAUCAGUAGCUGGUCUGAGAGGACGACCAGCCACACUGGGACUGAGACACGGCCCAGACUCCUACGGGAGGCAGCAGUGGGGAAUAUUGGACAAUGGGCGAAAGCCUGAUCCAGCAAUGCCGCGUGAGUGAUGAAGGCCUUAGGGUUGUAAAGCUCUUUUACCAGGGAUGAUAAUGACAGUACCUGGAGAAUAAGCACCGGCUAACUACGUG